Molecule: non-coding RNA, 74 nt
Organism: Podarcis lilfordi (Lilford's wall lizard)
Lineage: Eukaryota; Metazoa; Chordata; Lepidosauria; Squamata; Lacertidae
Source: the annotation of a GenBank genome assembly
GCCAGGGAUAGCUCAGUUGGUAAAGCACAAGACUAUUCAUCACAGGGUUGUGUGUUUGAGCCCCACACUAGGCA